UACAGAGGGUGCAAACGUUGCUCGGAAUCAUUGGGCGUAAAGAGCUCGUAGGCGGUUUGUCGCGUCUGCCGUGAAAGUCCGGGGCUCAACUCCGGAUCUGCGGUGGGUACGGGCAGACUAGAGUGAUGUAGGGGAGACUGGAAUUCCUGGUGUAGCGGUGAAAUGCGCAGAUAUCAGGAGGAAUACCAGAGGCGAAGGCGGCCAACUGGGCUUGUUCUGACGCUGAGGUGCGAAAGCGUGGGGAGCGAACAGG
RNAcentral lists this ribosomal RNA (253 nucleotides) under uncultured bacterium. RNAcentral describes it as "partial 16S ribosomal RNA". It matches the Rfam family "Bacterial small subunit ribosomal RNA", at positions 524 to 776 of the family's 1533-position model. The record is from RNAcentral.